RNAcentral lists this transfer RNA (103 nucleotides) under Bradyrhizobium japonicum. RNAcentral describes it as "tRNA-Ser". The record is from RNAcentral. Lineage: Bacteria; Pseudomonadati; Pseudomonadota; Alphaproteobacteria; Hyphomicrobiales; Nitrobacteraceae. RNAcentral also lists the same sequence under 14 other names.
CGGGACGGGAGUGGCCACCACACAAGAAAAAUCAAUAAGUUAGAAGAUGCUCACUGCGUUCGGGACGCAGGGGUCGCAGGUUCGAAUCCUGCCACUCCGACCA